This 243-nucleotide ribosomal RNA is filed under the name Triticum aestivum (bread wheat). RNAcentral describes it as "partial small subunit ribosomal RNA". Lineage: Eukaryota; Viridiplantae; Streptophyta; Magnoliopsida; Poales; Poaceae. The record is from RNAcentral.
AUGAUUUGCUUUAACUGUGGUGGACCGGGACAUUAUGUUGGAAAUUGUGUGAAGCCGAAGGCCUGCUUUAUCUGUCAGCAGAAUCAUAAUGUCAACAAUUGUGCAGCAUGGUCUAAAGUUCAACCUACUGCUGCCUUCUUUGGUAGUGGAGCUCAAGGUCUUGGUUUUUACCAUCUUGAUGUCCCUGUUGCAAAUGAGUCCAAUUGGUUGAACUUCCAGAACUGUGCGUGGUUAACAUCUUGA